UCGUAACAAGGUUUCCGUAGGUGAACCUGCGGAAGGAUCAUUACUGAUUUGCUUAAUUGCACCACAUGUGUUUUUCUUUGAAACAAACUUGCUUUGGCGGUGGGCCCAGCCUGCCGCCAGAGGUCUAAACUUACAACCAAUUUUUUAUCAACUUGUCACACCAGAUUAUUACUAAUAGUCAAAACUUUCAACAACGGAUCUCUUGGUUCUCGCAUCGAUGAAGAACGCAGCGAAAUGCGAUACGUAAUAUGAAUUGCAGAUAUUCGUGAAUCAUCGAAUCUUUGAACGCACAUUGCGCCCUCUGGUAUUCCGGAGGGCAUGCCUGUUUGAGCGUCGUUUCUCCCUCAAACCGCUGGGUUUGGUGUUGAGCAAUACGACUUGGGUUUGCUUGAAAGACGGUAGUGGUAAGGCGGGAUCGCUUUGACAAUGGCUUAGGUCUAACCAAAAACAUUGCUUGCGGCGGUAACGUCUACCACGUAUAUCUUCAAACUUUGACCUCAAAUCAGGUAGGACUACCCGCUGAACUUAAGCAUAUCA
This 537-nucleotide unclassified non-coding RNA is filed under the name Candida albicans. RNAcentral's name for it is "sequence contains 18S rRNA gene, ITS1, 5.8S rRNA gene, ITS2, 28S rRNA gene". The stretch from base 183 to 336 matches the Rfam family "5.8S ribosomal RNA". Lineage: Eukaryota; Fungi; Ascomycota; Pichiomycetes; Serinales; Debaryomycetaceae. The record is from RNAcentral.